Macaca mulatta (Rhesus monkey) is the source of this 2274-nucleotide long non-coding RNA. NCBI's taxonomy places the organism in Eukaryota, Metazoa, Chordata, Mammalia, Primates, Cercopithecidae. The record is from Ensembl.
AUGCAGUUUGCCUGGACAGUCUCAGUUUAUGUCUAUUGUCUGGGAAUAAUUAUUAAUUUCCUUUUUACUCUCAGAAGUGUCCUGCUUUGGAUCAUGAUUUAUAUGGCCACUUCUGUAAGAAAAGGAACAGAUUUUCAAAUCCUGCUUCAUGUGGUGCCAGAAUCUCUGCUUUUUGCCUCUUUCUCAUCCUCUGUGAGUGCAAUUGUGGCUUUCCUUAUCAGAUGUUCGGCAGUAGCCCUGGGUGAGGUAGGAGGAUGUGGGUCCUGGACGACACAUGACUGCUCUCCAGAACCUAGAGCACUUCUCCAGGGAGAGAAUUUCACAGCUCAUUGACUGCUCUGACUCCUAAUCUACACGGAGGAAACAAUGUUGCAGCUCAUCAAAUGCAAUCAGCUGCUAAUUGAAAGGAAAUGGAAUUUUACAAUUACAGGCCACCUUUCAGUGCUCAGGAUUUCUAAGCACUUCUCCCCACCCUCCUUUGCCAGCUCAGCACUGGCAGGAGCACUUGACAACCUGCUAGAGACUUCCCUAAAAGCUGCAUUUAGGACCUGGCCCAUUUCUCCCCAGCUCCAGAGCAGCAGCAAAGGGAAGCAGCGUCCUCGCCAAUUCCUGGGCUGUCCUUCAAGGCUCAGUGCAAGGAAAAACACCCGGGUUGGACACCAGGCGAGCUGAGUGCUGGUCCUUGUUCACCUUCCCCCACGCCUUGUGGCAGUGUGACCUUGGCAUGCCCCCCUUUCCCUCUGUGCCCCACUCCCCUUCUCGCUAAAAUCAAGAAGCUGAAUUUGAUGACCUCUUGGUUCUUAUCAGCUCUGAUGAUUCUGUUUGUCCUGUUCUUGCCACUAUCCUCAUCCAAUGGAAGACAUCUAAAUUGACACCCUCUUUCUUGCCCAGUUAUCUGCUGUUCCAAAUGCUUCCAGGGUGACUGUCUUAGGUCUCCCAAAAGAUGUAUCCUGAUGAGAUUUUAAUGGGCCAGAAAGCAAAUUUGGGAAACAUCCUACUCAAUCUUCUGAUCAGACAUCUCUCUCCCCGUCCUGGAUCCAUUCACUUCCUUGGACAAAUAUCAAUCAUGAUUAAAUCUAAAGACAGUCACAUAGAUGUUUCUGGGUUCUGUCUUUUUCCCAAUGAGAUCCUGUGGAGACAAGGCUGGGAUGAGGGCUGCCAGCCAGAAAGAGCAUUGCUGCUUUUGACCCUGUCUCAAAGCUCCAUUUCCAGCCAGCUUUUCCUCUGAGAACAGGACUAACUAGCAUCUGCUUUGAGGUCUGGUCUGUGUCAUCCCACAAUAACACUUGUUCUGUCCAGGAACACAUCCGAGGCUCAUGUAACCCUGCAGUGCCAUUUUCUCUUGGUUCCCAUGAUCUGUGGGCUGGUCUAAUGUGCUUAUCGGAUACUGGAAUAUCACCACUUUCCUUUAGGCUGAUGAGUUAUGGCGUAUAUAAAAAAAAAAAAAAUUAAGCACAGUCAAAAAUAUUUUUUGUUUGGCCAAGGUUCAGUCUCAGUCCCAUUUCCCUCGAUCAGAGGAACACUCCAUCAGGGUCUUAGUCUGACCUGUUGCCUAGAGAAAUAGGCUACAAAUGAGUAAAAGAAAAGCAGUGAUGGGCUGGCUGGAUCUCCCCUCUAACAACACUGCAAUGAGCAUGCUGGGUCCAGGAAGCUCCUGAUGCUUUUCUGGAACUCUAUCUUUAGGGAAGGCUGGGGAGAGAGAGGACAAAGGUGGGGUCUCCAUCAGGAUGGGAGGGGAGGAGAGUGUGAAGGAAGCUCUGGAGCUGUGGGUUUGCACUGUAAUGUAAAUAGGACAGGAGCUGGAAGUGGGUGCAGGUUGGAGGCAGGAAGAGGACCACUUGGGCAGAUCCCACCUAUAGGUCUAUUGGCCAAAGGGUCAGGGUUCAGACAGCCAGUGUGAAGGGAAGAGUGAUUACCAAAGGUAAGAGUGAUGGCCUAAAAAGGGAGGUUAAGAGCCUGAGAGAUGUCAGAGGGGAGUAAAAAGCUGCUGUGUUCGAAGGGCCAGGCGACAUGGCCUCAUGUUGAUACCGGUCACUGGUCAAAGCCCUGCCCAUCCUGGAAGAAAAGUGCUGGUUGUUAUGAGAGCUGGGAUUGGUCUGUCCACUCUAGGUAGAGUGGACACCAGCAGAAAUUCCACUGGUGGGCAAAAUGUGGCAUCCAGAAAGUAUGAAAAUAGGCACUCUAUGGUAUUUCAGAGAUGUAGUUGGCACUUGAGGUCCUAACCCAGACCCUAGAAUGUUCUGAUGUGUAAAUGGAACAUGAUGAAGGAGAUUC